GUUUGGGUUGUUGUGCUCACACGUCUGGAGUGAGCGCUCAUUACGUAUUUGGCUCUGGUAGUGUACGUUUCGUUUUCAUAUAAUUGACGGCGGUUCGCGUUUGUUUUCAUCAACGAGCAUUUCAACUCGAUAGUACGUUCAUUCGUCAAUUAAUCAACUUAAUGCAAAAUAAAAUUUUCGUGUGCGUUAAGAAAAAUUUGAAACAUUUUUUUCUUGCGUGCUAAGAGAAUAUUUUGUCGUGUUCUUUAAUUGUAAAAAAUACGAGCAAAAAUAUAAGAAUAUUUGUGUUUUAAGAAAUGAGAUAGAAGAAGUGUAUAUCAUGAAGCUGGUUUAAAGCAAAUGGACGGUGAUAUAUGAAGUGAAUAAUUUCUUGAAUUUUUAAAACAAAAAUAUUGAAUUGGAAGUGGUAAAUAUUGAGCUACAAAGUAAAAUUGUGAAAAAUGUUAGCAGAACUAUUAAAAAUAAUAAACACGAGCUUGAAAUGCAGUAUAAAAAAUGUUGGUGAAAAUAAUAAUUAUUGAAGAAAAGGCAAAUAAGAGUCAAACAAACACAUAGUCCUACAUUGCGACUCAAUGAAAAUAUCGAGUAAGCAAAAAAGUUUCAAAUUAAAGUAACAAUAAAACACCAUUAUAAAACAAGGUGGGUUAACAAUAAAGCUAAAAAAAUAUAUUGAAACUAAAUAUAAUGAAAAUCAUGCGCUGAAUGCCAUGCCGAGAAAGAUAAUAAAGAUUGCAACAGUGAACAAAAAAAUAAAUAAAUUAAACCUGCAAAUAUGAUUUAUGGAAAAGUGAGCGCCAAACACUAGAGCAAAAGUGAAAUUGAAAACAGAAUGUGCACAUAACGACAACAAUUAAUAAGCAUUAAAGUGGAAUAAUCGGAAUUUAGGAAAAUAAUUAUUAAAGAUUAUUAUUAUUAUUGACGUAGAGUGGCACAUAUAAAAAUGUUUUCCUAAUAAUUUCAAAUGUGUAAAAAAUAUAAAAGUUAUUAUACCUACUGAUAAUAGCGUAUUGAGUGAAAUUAUGAAUUGAAUUUUUAUUGAAAGAAUAAUACAAUUUUCCAAUUAUUUGAAAAAUAGUGAAACAAUUUGGAGAAACAGAUUACUACAAGUGAUAUUAUUUUAUUUGUAACUAUAAAAUCGAUGUAUUUCAAAUUAACGCCAAACAAAUUGUUGUAAUGGAAUAUACAUAUUCAACAAAUACAUAGGAGACAAUAUGUUUCCAAUUUACGGAUACGUAACUUCGCUUUCUCCUUAAUGACAUUCCGUUAUGUGGCAGCUGAAUUAAAUUAUUUAUACAAAAAGUGCAGUAUUCGAAAAUAAUCAACUUUUACAACAAUCGUGCGCAUCAAUCAUACAAUUUGCGUUACGUCACACGAACGACCAUCUCACCCAAUACCCAUAAGCCUAGGCGUCACGCUAGCAGACACAUCAUGCCGUACGCAUACAUUUCAACUUCAAACAACAUACCUACACCGCACUCACCCGAGAGUAAAAUGCCAGCAAAGACAACGUCGUCACAGACGUCAUUCGCAGUGACACACCCCCACACGUUGCACAGUUUACAGCAAUUGCUGCUGCCACUCAAAAUCAUCGCCUUUAUCAGCAUCGUCGUCUCGUCGUCAUCAUUGAUCUGCGUGACGCAGGCUAAACACCUGUCAAACGAUGCCAAUAUUGGUGCUGGCGACAUGGCGGCACUAGACGACGCAUAUUCUGCCUCCAUGCCGUCUAUCUCCUCAUCGUCUUCGUAUUAUGGCGCUUAUCAAAAUCAACGCUUCGCUAUGGAACCUCAAGACCAGUCAGCUGUGGUGGGUGCACGUGUUACGUUACCGUGUCGCGUCAUCAAUAAACAGGGCGUACUACAGUGGACGAAAGAUGAUUUUGGUUUGGGUACAUCACGUGAUUUGGGCGGUUUUGAGCGUUACUCAAUGAUUGGUAGCGAUGAAGAGGGUGAUUACUCGUUGGAUAUUUAUCCGGUGAUGUUGGACGAUGAUGCACGCUAUCAAUGUCAAGUGAGUCCAGGACCGGAAGGUCAACCGCCCAUACGUUCGACAUUUGCAACAUUGACGGUGUUGGUGCCACCGGAGGCGCCUAAAAUUACACAAGGCGAUGUGAUUUACACAACAGAGGAUCGAAAAGUGGACAUUGAGUGUGUGUCGGUGGGCGGUAAACCAGCAUCGGAGAUAACGUGGAUUGAUGGACUUGGCAACGUUAUAACGAGUGACAUUGACUACACUACGUUACAGAUGCCGGAUGAACGUCGCUUCACCGCUCAAUCGACAUUGCGGUUGACACCGAAAAAGGAGCAUCACAAUACGACAUUCACUUGUCAGGCACAAAAUACGGCAGAUCGUACAUAUCGCUCGGCGCGAAUACGUGUGGAGGUAAAAUACGCACCAAAAGUUAAAGUCAACAUAAUUGGCGGUGCGUUGGAGGAUGGACGUAUACCGGAGUUUGCUCAGGUGCGAUUAGAGUGCAAAGCGGAUGCCAAUCCCAGUGAUCUGCGUUAUCGCUGGUUCAUCAACGAUGAACCAAUUGUUGGUGGACAAAAAACUGAAAUGGUUAUUCGAAAUGUUACACGCAAAUUUCAUGAUGCCAUCGUCAAGUGUGAAGUCCAAAAUUCAGUGGGCAAGAGUGAAGAUAGUGAAACGCUGGACAUCAGCUAUGCACCAAGCUUUCGCCAGCGUCCACAAUCUAUCGAAGCGGAUGUCGGUACUUUGAUAUCGCUAAGUUGUGAAGUUGAUGGAAAUCCCACGCCAGAUAUUGUAUGGAUUCAACAUCCAAGUGAUCGGGUUGUUGGCAUCAACUCCAAUCUCACCUUCACCGUUAGCAAUGAGACAGCUGGGCGUUAUUAUUGCAAAGCGAAUGUACCUGGCUACAAAGAAAUCACCACCGAUGCGUAUGUUUAUCUAAAAGGUUCACCAACCAUUUACUCGCCACCCUAUCAAUUUGGCUGGGUGGGCGAUACGGCGCGUAUUGAGUGUUCGGCAACUUCUGUACCACGUGCACGUCACGUCUCGUGGACAUUUAACGGGCACGAAAUCAAUGCUGAAUAUGGGCACGACUAUUCAAUACUGGUGGAUCCGGUGCCGGGUGGCGUCAAAUCGACGCUGAUCAUUCGUGACAGUCAAGCGUAUCAUUAUGGCAAGUACAAUUGCACUGUGGUGAACGAUUACGGGAAUGAUGUGUUGGAAAUCAAUUUGCAGGCGCAAAAAAAAAUUUCGCCCAUGAUGAUUAUUAUUGGCGGCACCUCAGUCGUUGGCUGUGCCAUGAUCCUCAUCAUUAUCAUUAUCGUCUACUUCAAGUGCAAGAAACGCACCAAACUGCCGCCGGCUGAUGUUAUUAGCGAACACCAGAUAAGUAAAAAUGGUGGUGUGGCCUGUAAAAUGGAAGCUGGCGAUCGUACAUCCAAUUACAGUGACCUCAAAGUGGACAUCUCCGGUGGUUAUGUACCUUACGGCGACUAUUCCACACACUACAGUCCGCCACCGCAAUAUCUCACCACCUGCUCAACCAAAUCGAAUGGCAGCUCGACCAUAUUACAAAAUAAUCAUCAUAAUCAUUUGCAACAGCAGCAUAUGCAACAAACGCUCCAACAUCAGCAUCAUCAGCAGCAUCAACAAACACCACCACCACCACCGACGCAAAUAGUACCAAUGACAUUCCUUUCGAAUGGCAGUGCGAGCGGUAGUCUGACGAGUAGUAUUGUCGGUUCGCGUGAAAUACGACAGGAUAAUGGCUUGCCGAGUCUACAAUCGACGACUGCGUCUGUGGUGAGUUCAUCGCCGAAUGGCAGUUGUAGUAAUCAGAGUACAGCGACGCAUGUCAUCUCUAGUUCGGUGGCGAUGAGCGUGGAUCCACGCUACAGCGCCAUUUAUGGUAAUCCAUAUUUGAGAUCAUCGAAUUCAUCGCUCUUGCCGCCACCAACUGCGGUUUAGAGUAUAAAUAUCAUGCAAUAAGUACUUUGGUAGCUUCGUCUGUUGUAGAACGGCAAACUAUAGAAUUGAAAGACUGAUCUCAAAAGCAUAAAAAAUUGUGUGUACGGCAAAUGCGUUUUGACAACAUCGUCGGCAGCCUUAUUCAAAUGGUUACGAACGGUUUGUUGUGUCACCUUUAGCUCUGGGGCAAUCGAAACGGUGCUAACAUGACGGCCGGACUCGACAAAUGUUCAUAGUCUUACCGACUUAUAAUGGAUUAAUUUUUACUACACCUAAUA
RNAcentral lists this unclassified non-coding RNA (4211 nucleotides) under Ceratitis capitata (Mediterranean fruit fly). RNAcentral's name for it is "irregular chiasm C-roughest protein, transcript variant X2". The record is from RNAcentral. Lineage: Eukaryota; Metazoa; Arthropoda; Insecta; Diptera; Tephritidae.